Molecule: ribosomal RNA, 497 nt
Filed under: uncultured bacterium
Lineage: Bacteria
Description: partial 16S ribosomal RNA
Rfam family: Bacterial small subunit ribosomal RNA
Source: RNAcentral
GAUGAACGCUGGCGGCGUGCCUAAUACAUGCAAGUCGAGCGAACGGACGAGAAGCUUGCUUCUCUGAUGUUAGCGGCGGACGGGUGAGUAACACGUGGAUAACCUACCUAUAAGACUGGGAUAACUUCGGGAAACCGGAGCUAAUACCGGAUAAUAUUUUGAACCGCAUGGUUCAAUAGUGAAAGACGGUUUUGCUGUCACUUAUAGAUGGAUCCGCGCUGCAUUAGCUAGUUGGUAAGGUAACGGCUUACCAAGGCAACGAUGCAUAGCCGACCUGAGAGGGUGAUCGGCCACACUGGAACUGAGACACGGUCCAGACUCCUACGGGAGGCAGCAGUAGGGAAUCUUCCGCAAUGGGCGAAAGCCUGACGGAGCAACGCCGCGUGAGUGAUGAAGGUCUUCGGAUCGUAAAACUCUGUUAUUAGGGAAGAACAAAUGUGUAAGUAACUAUGCACGUCUUGACGGUACCUAAUCAGAAAGCCACGGCUAACUACGUG